Molecule: long non-coding RNA, 1713 nt
Organism: Malurus melanocephalus (red-backed fairy wren)
Lineage: Eukaryota; Metazoa; Chordata; Aves; Passeriformes; Maluridae
Exons: 3
Source: RefSeq, a predicted model, not a curated record
UCAGAGCACUGUGUUUUUAUGCAGUUUCACAAGCACUGAUAGAGAAACAAAGCAGUCUUCAUUACCACUCAAAUCUGUCUUGACUCAGCACACCGUGGCUGAAUAAGGCAUCCAUCCUCAGUUCUGGGAAGAGUGAUCAUUACUGUGGCCCUGAAAAGGGACGYGCUGGAGUUCUGGUGUUGCUGUGGAUCCAAGGCUCUAUUCUUGUGCCUCUCCUCUAAGUUCUWUCUGCAUCUUGCUGUGCCUUAAAUGCAUUUGCAGGGUUUGGGGUCCUGUGUAGCUCAAAGCAUUGAAGUUGCAUCUUCUGUGGCCUCAGUGAGAGUUUUGAGAAGGCUCGUGACCACAUUCCCUCUGCUGUCUCUUCCUUUGGCAGAACGAAACCAAGCAGUGUUUUCAUUCUGUGUACAAAGGAGCUGUGCCUUUGUCAGCAGAGAUGCUGGAGCUGCCUUUCUUUGGCACGCGUGGAGAAGCCCUCAGCACAAGAGAAGAAUCAUUCCAGAAGAGAAGAAUCAUUCCAGAAGAGAAGAAACAUUCCAGAAUCAUGCUGUUGGAGGGCCAGCACAAGAAGUUAAAAAGAAAAGCUUUGGAAGGACUUUCUUCAGGACAAGUGAGGAAGCAGCUGUUUGCCAUGAGAAAAAGCCCCUAAAUUUGUGCUUCCUGAGCUAGGAAAUAGCUGCUGCUGCUGCUGCCACCGCUGCUGUUUCUGCAGACAUUUCUUGUGGCCUGGGAGAUGACACUGUGGCACAAAAGGCUGGAGGACAGCACCGGGGUGGGGAUGGGAGACCAGGCAARGUCAUGUGGCUCUGACUCACUGGAAGAUAUUUUUCAAAACCUUUAYAGAGACUGUAUGUCCAACAAUCCGUGCCAAGCCCUGGAAGAAAUCUGCCCUGUGUUAUGCUUUCCUUGAAAGAAGGGUGGAAGGAGCAAAUGCUGUGGGAAUGUCGGUCAGCAAAGCCUGUGAAACUGGUUGCUGUGCCACAAGGAUGGGACAUUUUGCUGUUUCUGCGAAUCUGAGAGCAAAAUCACUGCAAUCCAGUGAUGGGAUCUCAGUGUGGCAGUGUGGGCACUCAGCUAAAGCUGUCUAUGGAGGGCUGGACAGGAGAGAGGGCUGCCCUUGGCAUGAGAGCCCGAAUGUCACAGAAUCAUGGAAUAUCCUGAGYUGGGAGGGACCCACAGGGAUCAUUGAUCCAGACCCCCCAACAAUCCCACCCUGAGCAUCCCUGGCAGCGCUGUCCGAACGCUCCUGGAGCUCUGGCAGCCUCGGGGCCGGGACCAUUCCCUGGGGAGCCUGGGCAGUGCCAGCACCCUGUGGGCACACAAGAACCUUUCCCUGCUCUCCAGCCGGAGCCUGGCCUGGCCCUGUGCAGCCAUGGCAGCCCUGUCCCUGUCCCAGCAGAGCUCAGGGCCGGCCCCUGCUCUGCCCCUCAGCAGGAGCUGCAGCUGCCAUGUCUCCCCUCAGGCUGCUGCAGCCCAACAGAGCCCGUGCCCUCAGCCGCUCCUCAGCAGCUUCCCCUCACGGCCCUCGCCACCCUCGUGCCCUCCUUUGGACACUCUCCCGUGCCUUUCUGGCUUUGUGCCAUGGUGGCACCCASAAGUGCCCACAGGAUUGGAGCUGAGGCCGGCCCGGCCCAGAGCAGAGCGGGACAAUCCCUCCCAGGCCCGGCCGGCCAUGCUGUCCCUGCUGGCCCAGGACAGGGCUGUCCCUGCYGGCCC